GGGGGCGUUAUGGAUUCGACAUAAAUAAAAAUUUUUAAGAGCAUGUCGAGAUUUUUCUUCUCUCGUUAAUCAAAAGUUAAUAUUUAUUAUAUUCCAAAAAUACAAGUUGUGCUCAGAAUUAUAGCUUAGCUGCAUAAUUCAAAUUCAUAACUUUAUGUUUACUAUUCCAUAAUUAAUGAAUCAAGAGCUAUAAAGAGUAGUAUAUCGUUCAUUACUGUCUUUACUAUUGAACGUUAACCUUUACUAAGACUUACCUUAAUUAAUCUUGCUCAUCAGGUUUUUUAACAAUUAUUAUAAAGAUGAAGCUUAACAUGUAGAAACUUAAUCAUUUUAUAUUUUAUGGACGCGGGUUCGAUCCCCGCCGCCUCCACUU
Non-coding RNA from Gossypium hirsutum (cotton), 373 nucleotides. The record is from Rfam. NCBI's taxonomy places the organism in Eukaryota, Viridiplantae, Streptophyta, Magnoliopsida, Malvales, Malvaceae.